CCUACGGGGGGCAGCAGUAGGGAAUUUUCGUCAAUGGGCGCAAGCCUGAACGAGCAAUGCCGCGUGAACGAGGAAGGUCUUCGGAUCGUAAAGUUCUGUUGAAGGGGAAAAAGAGCGGAGAGAGGAAAUGGUCUCCGAUUGAUAUUACCCUUCGAGGAAGUCACGGCUAACUACGUGCCAGCAGCCGCGGUAAUACGUAGGUGGCGAGCGUUAUCCGGAAUGAUUGGGCGUAAAGGGUGCGUAGGCGGGACGGCAAGUCAGAUGUGAAAACUGAGGGCUCAACCUUCAGACUGCAUUUGAAACUG
Molecule: ribosomal RNA, 305 nt
Filed under: uncultured bacterium
Lineage: Bacteria
Description: bacterial SSU rRNA
Rfam family: Bacterial small subunit ribosomal RNA
Source: RNAcentral